UACGAAGGGGGCUAGCGUUGCUCGGAAUCACUGGGCGUAAAGCGCACGUAGGCGGCUUCUUAAGUCAGGGGUGAAAUCCUGGAGCUCAACUCCAGAACUGCCUUUGAUACUGAGAAGCUCGAGUCCGGGAGAGGUGAGUGGAACUGCGAGUGUAGAGGUGAAAUUCGUAGAUAUUCGCAAGAACACCAGUGGCGAAGGCGGCUCACUGGCCCGGUACUGACGCUGAGGCACGAAAGUGUGGGGAUCAAACAGG
This 253-nucleotide ribosomal RNA is filed under the name uncultured bacterium. RNAcentral's name for it is "partial 16S ribosomal RNA". It matches the Rfam family "Bacterial small subunit ribosomal RNA", at positions 524 to 776 of the family's 1533-position model. The record is from RNAcentral.